This 497-nucleotide ribosomal RNA is filed under the name uncultured bacterium. RNAcentral describes it as "partial 16S ribosomal RNA". It matches the Rfam family "Bacterial small subunit ribosomal RNA", at positions 28 to 507 of the family's 1533-position model. The record is from RNAcentral.
GAUGAACGCUGGCGGCGUGCCUAAUACAUGCAAGUCGAGCGAACGGACGAGAAGCUUGCUUCUCUGAUGUUAGUGGCGGACGGGUGUGUAACACGUGGAUAACCUACCUAUAAGACUGGGAUAACUUCGGGAAACCGUAGCUAAUACCGGAUAAUAUUUUGAACCGCAUGGUUCAAAAGUGAAAGACGGUCUUGCUGUCACUUAUAGAUGGAUCCGCGCUGCAUUAGCUAGUUGGUAAGGUAACGGCUUACCAAGGCAACGAUGCAUAGCCGACCUGAGAGGGUGAUCGGCCACACUGGAACUGAGACACGGUCCAGACUCCUACGGGAGGCAGCAGUAGGGAAUCUUCCGCAAUGGGCGAAAGCCUGACGGAGCAACGACGCGUGAGUGAUGAAGGUCUUCGGAUCGUAAAACUCUGUUAUUAGGGAAGAACAUAUGUGUAAGUAACUGUGCACAUCUUGACGGUACCUAAUCAGAAAGCCACGGCUAACUACGUG